RNAcentral lists this long non-coding RNA (357 nucleotides) under Zonotrichia albicollis (white-throated sparrow). RNAcentral's name for it is "lncRNA (ENSZALG00000007448.1)". Lineage: Eukaryota; Metazoa; Chordata; Aves; Passeriformes; Passerellidae. The record is from RNAcentral.
AUCAUUUACAUCAAUUACCUGUAAAUCUGACCCCAUCAAUCUUUUUUGAUUUUGUCUAUUUGGGUUCAGAAGCAUGAAGAACUUCUGCACAAGAAAUCCAGUUGAUUUAGUCACAUGCUGAGACAGUUACAAGGGCAGAUCCCAGAUGAGGAAAACUCUACAAGACAGGAAGCCUGAAAAAUGAUGCUGGAUCCAUUUCUGAGGAAAAGCAUUUAGGAGUUGUGGAAUCAAUCAAGUGAAAUCACACUAGGAGCCGAGGUCUUCUCUUAUGAGAAAUUCUACAUAGAAACUUUCCAUAGAUCUAAGCCUGUGCCUGUGCAUGCCGAAGAUCCCCUUUUGACUACAGUCCAGGUGAUG